RNAcentral lists this ribosomal RNA (585 nucleotides) under uncultured bacterium. RNAcentral describes it as "partial 16S ribosomal RNA". It matches the Rfam family "Bacterial small subunit ribosomal RNA", at positions 355 to 1375 of the family's 1533-position model. The record is from RNAcentral.
UGGGGAAUUUUGGACAAUGGGCGAAAGCCUGAUCCAGCAAUGCCGCGUGUGUGAAGAAGGCCUUCGGGUUGUAAAGCACUUUUGUCCGGAAAGAAAUCCUUGGCUCUAAUACAGUCGGGGGAUGACGGUACCGGAAGAAUAAGCACCGGCUAACUACGUGCCAGCAGCCGCGGUAAUACGUAGGGUGCAAGCGUUAAUCGGAAUUACUGGGCGUAAAGCGUGCGCAGGCGGUUUGCUAAGACCGAUGUGAAAUCCCCGGGCUCAACCUGGGAACUGCAUUGGUGACUGGCAGGCUAGAGUAUGGCAGAGGGGGGUAGAAUUCCACGUGUAGCAGUGAAAUGCGUAGAGAUGUGGAGGAAUACCGAUGGCGAAGGCAGCCCCCUGGGCCAAUACUGACGCUCAUGCACGAAAGCGUGGGGAGCAAACAGGGUUAGAUACCCUGGUAGUCCACGCCCUAAACGAUGUCAACUAGUUGUUGGGGAUUCAUUUCCUUAGUAACGUAGCUAACGCGUGAAGUUGACCGCCUGGGGAGUACGGUCGCAAGAUUAAAACUUAAAGGAAUUGACGGGGUCAUAGCUGUUUCCU